AUAGUGGCGCACGGGUGCGUAACGCGUGGGAAUCUACCCUUGGGUCCGGAAUAACUCAGAGAAAUUUGAGCUAAUACCGGAUGAUGACGUAAGUCCAAAGAUUUAUCGCCCAAGGAUGAGCCCGCGUAGGAUUAGCUUGUUGGUGAGGUAAAAGCUCACCAAGGCGACGAUCCUUAGCUGGUCUGAGAGGGUGAUCAGCCACACUGGGACUGAGACACGGCCCAG
RNAcentral lists this ribosomal RNA (225 nucleotides) under uncultured bacterium. RNAcentral's name for it is "partial 16S ribosomal RNA". It matches the Rfam family "Bacterial small subunit ribosomal RNA", at positions 92 to 334 of the family's 1533-position model. The record is from RNAcentral.